Molecule: small nucleolar RNA, 107 nt
Organism: Zingiber officinale
Lineage: Eukaryota; Viridiplantae; Streptophyta; Magnoliopsida; Zingiberales; Zingiberaceae
Source: RefSeq, a predicted model, not a curated record
AGGCCAUGAUAUGGACAUUACUAUAAUAAGAUCUUGAAUCUUCCCCAAGCUUCUAACAAUGACUCUUCAUCCCUUUGUGAAAAACCCAUAAUUUAAAUCCUGAGAUA